UACGGAGGAUGCAAGCGUUAUUCGGAAUUAUUGGGCGUAAAGCGUCCGCAGGUGGCACUUCAAGUCUGCUGUCAAAGACAGAAGCUUAACUUCUGGUCGGCAGUGGAAACUGAAGAGCUAGAGUACGGUAGGGGCAGAGGGAAUUUCCAGUGUAGCGGUGAAAUGCGUAGAGAUUGGAAAGAACACCAGUGGCGAAGGCGCUCUGCUGGGCCUGUACUGACACUGAGGGACGAAAGCUAGGGGAGCGAAAGGG
RNAcentral lists this ribosomal RNA (253 nucleotides) under uncultured bacterium. RNAcentral describes it as "partial 16S ribosomal RNA". It matches the Rfam family "Bacterial small subunit ribosomal RNA", at positions 524 to 776 of the family's 1533-position model. The record is from RNAcentral.